RNAcentral lists this ribosomal RNA (404 nucleotides) under uncultured bacterium. Its description in RNAcentral is "bacterial SSU rRNA". It matches the Rfam family "Bacterial small subunit ribosomal RNA", at positions 17 to 406 of the family's 1533-position model. The record is from RNAcentral.
UCCUGGCUCAGAGCGAACGUUAGCGGCGCGCCUAACACAUGCAAGUCGCACGAGAAAGGGGGCAACCCCCCGGUACAGUGGCGCACGGGUGAGUAACACGUGGGUGAUCUGCCCAGAAGAAGGGGAUAACCUCUCGAAAGGGGGGCUAAUACCGCAUAGGACCACCGGGGCUCUGGCUCUGUGGUGAAAGGGGGCCUCUGUUUACAAGCUCCUGCUUCUGGAUGAGCCCGCGUCCCCAUCAGCUAGUUGGUAGGGUAAUGGCCUACCAAGGCUACGACGGGUAGCUGGUCUAAGAGGAUGGCCAGCCACACUGGAACUGAGACACGGUCCAGACUCCUACGGGAGGCAGCAGUGGGGAAUCUUGCGCAAUGGGCGAAAGCCUGACGCAGCGACGCCGCGUGGGU